GACGAACGCUGGCGGCGUGCCUAACACAUGCAAGUCGAGCGAGGGACUUCGGUCCCUAGCGGCGGACGGGUGAGUAACACGUGGGCAACCUGCCUCAUAGAGGGGGAUAGCCUCCCGAAAGGGAGAUUAAUACCGCAUAACAUCAUGCUUUCGCAUGGAAGUAUGAUUAAAGGAGCAAUCCGCUAUGAGAUGGGCCCGCGGCGCAUUAGCUAGUUGGUGAGGUAACGGCUCACCAAGGCGACGAUGCGUAGCCGACCUGAGAGGGUGAUCGGCCACAUUGGAACUGAGACACGGUCCAGACUCCUACGGGAGGCAGCAGUGGGGAAUAUUGCACAAUGGGCGAAAGCCUGAUGCAGCAACGCCGCGUGAGUGAAGAAGGCCUUCGGGUUGUAAAGCUCUGUCUUUUGGGACGAUAAUGACGGUACCAAAGGAGGAAGCCACGGCUAACUACGUGCCAGCAGCCGCGGUAAUACGUAGGUGGCAAGCGUUGUCCGGAUUUACUGGGCGUAAAGGAUGCGUAGGUGGAUAUUUAAGUGGGAUGUGAAAUACCCGGGCUCAACUUGGGUGCUGCAUUCCAAACUGGAUAUCUAGAGUGCAGGAGAGGAAAGUGGAAUUCCUAGUGUAGCAGUGAAAUGCGUAGAUAUUAGGAGGAACACCAGUGGCGAAGGCGACUUUCUGGACUGUAACUGACACUGAGGCAUGAAAGCGUGGGGAGCAAACAGGAUUAGAUACCCUGGUAGUCCACGCCGUAAACGAUGGGUACUAGGUGUAGGAGGGUCGAACCUUCUGUGCCGUCGUUAACACAUUAAGUA
RNAcentral lists this ribosomal RNA (812 nucleotides) under uncultured bacterium. RNAcentral's name for it is "bacterial SSU rRNA". It matches the Rfam family "Bacterial small subunit ribosomal RNA", at positions 28 to 866 of the family's 1533-position model. The record is from RNAcentral.